UUUUGAACUCUUCGCUCUGUUUUCAUUGUGAACUUCUGGCAAGUACUGUGGAAAAAUCUGUCACUUGCCCUUACAAACUGAAACUCCAUAACCCAAGGAAAUAUUUUGGGCACUGUUAUGGCUGACUAAGACUGUAGCUCAAGUCUCAAAUUGAACCAUAUGAAUUUGUACAAGCACCAUUAGCAGAAUUAUAAUCUCAAAUCAAGGUAUGUAACUGGAUAUCCAUGUUUGAAAAGCCUGGCUUGUGUAAUUGAGCACAUAAUUAUGCAAGCAGAUUUGGUUGUACAACUUUUAAUGCCAGCCAGCAAUGCUGCAUUUCUAGCACUUUUUCCACUUUGUGCAAACCGGCAGGAACUGGGAAAUUAAACAUUAUCAUAUUUAUUCUAUACGGAUUUUCUGCUCACUUUGAAGAACUACAUCUGAAACUAACAAGGUUAGCUGAAGAAAUGUAUCUUUCAAGAAAAGGCACCAUAAACAAGAGUAAUUUCAGAAGUUCAGCUCUUCAUAAGUUCUAUGUCUGAGAUCUGGAAAUCAUCUGAUAUUGUGAUACUUGCACUAAAAAUCACAAUGGCGGCCAGGAGAUCUUUUCUUCAUCUUGAACAGGUCUGAACAGAAAUGCAAACCCUCUGCUUUGCUGCUUGGUUUUACUUUACUUACCAAAUCUACUGUCAUCAUCUUGCCUACUAGGUAAAAGACUUGGAAACCUUACAUCUUUUGUGGUGGGGUAACUUCUUUUGUUCAUUGCCAGACAUCCAUCAAGCUGUACUCUCACUCCCUUCCUCAAUACAGCAGGAUAAGGGAAUAGAAAAGCUUGUGGGUCAAGAUAAAGACAGAUUACUCACCAGUUAGAUGGCUUUGGGACUUCUGUGUGUUCAGUAACAGAUUUUUUUGAAAUUUUCCCACGCUGAUAGAUCAACAAGAGAUGUUUUACUGCAGAGACAGGUCUUACUCUGAUACAUAAAAUCCCUGUGAUGUCAACAGACUCUAGUGCAGUACAGAAAAGCCCCAGUCUGUAGCUGUUCUCCUUUUUAACUCCUUUUGUAUGGGUUGUAUUUAAGUGUAAGCAAUCGUAUGCUGCAUGGACUUGUCUUACAAAUUCCAGUCCUUUCUGAAAAACAUUUAGUCUGUACUUGCGUUUUAUGUGCAGGAAUCUGCUGCAUCUUUAAGUGCCACGUUUAAUAAAAAAGCCUGUUUUCUGUUUUUAGAUUAGAAU
Molecule: long non-coding RNA, 1213 nt
Filed under: Numida meleagris (helmeted guineafowl)
Lineage: Eukaryota; Metazoa; Chordata; Aves; Galliformes; Numididae
Description: lncRNA (ENSNMEG00000019665.1)
Source: RNAcentral